Molecule: ribosomal RNA, 1315 nt
Filed under: Periwinkle phytoplasma
Lineage: Bacteria; Bacillati; Mycoplasmatota; Mollicutes; Acholeplasmatales; Acholeplasmataceae
Description: bacterial SSU rRNA
Rfam family: Bacterial small subunit ribosomal RNA
Source: RNAcentral
CAAGUAAACGGGAGCGACCUACCCUAAAGACGAGGAUAACCAUUGGAAACAGUGGCUAAGACUGGAUAGGAAGAUAAAAGGCAUCUUGUAUCUUUUAAAAGACCUAGUUAAUAGGUAUGCUUUAGGAGGGGCUGCGCCAUAUUAGUUAGUUGGUAGGGUAAUGGCCUACCAAGACGAUGAUGUGUAGCUGGACUGAGAGGUUGAACAGCCACAUUGGGACUGAGACACGGCCCAAACUCCUACGGGAGGCAGCAGUAGGGAAUUUUCGGCAAUGGAGGAAACUCUGACCGAGCAACGCCGCGUGAAUGACGAAGUACUUCGGUAUGUAAAGUUCUUUUAUCGAGGAAGAAAAGCAAAUGGCGAACCAUUUGUUUGCCGGUACUUGAUGAAUAAGCCCCGGCUAAUUAUGUGCCAGCAGCCGCGGUAAGACAUAAGGGGCAAGUGUUAUCCGGAAUUAUUGGGCGUAAAGGGUGCGUAGGCGGUCUAGUAAGUCAGUGGUGUAAUGGCAACGCUUAACGUGGUCCGCGCUUUGAAACUGCUAAACUUGAGUUAGAUAGAGGCGAGUGGAAUUCCAUGUGUAGCGGUAAAAUGCGUAAAUAUAUGGAGGAACACCAGAGGCGUAGGCGGCUCGCUGGGUCUUAACUGACGCUGAGGCACGAAAGCGUGGGGAGCAAACAGGAUUAGAUACCCUGGUAGUCCACGCCGUAAACGAUGAGUACUAAGUGUCGGGUUAAACCGGUACUGAAGUUAACACAUUAAGUACUCCGCCUGAGUAGUACGUACGCAAGUAUGAAACUUAAAGGAAUUGACGGGACUCCGCACAAGCGGUGGUCAUGUUGUUUAAUUCGAAGAUACCCGAAAAACCUUACCAGGUCUUGACAUGUUUUUGCAAAAUGAUAGUAAUAUCGUGGAGGUUACCAGAAACACAGGUGGUGCAUGGUUGUCGUCAGCUCGUGUCGUGAGAUGUUAGGUUAAGUCCUUAAACGAGCGAAACCCUUAUCGUUAGUUGCCAGCACGUUAUGGUGGGGACUUUAACGAGACUGCCAAUGAUAAAUUGGAGGAAGGUGAGGAUCACGUCAAAUCAGCAUGCCCCUUAUGACCUGGGCUACAAACGUGAUACAAUGGCUGUUACAAAGGGUAGCUGAAACGCAAGUUCUUGGCCAAUCCCCAAAAACAGUCCCAGUCCGGAUUGAAGUCUGCAACUCGACUUCAUGAAGUUGGAAUCGCUAGUAAUCGCGAAUCAGCAUGUCGCGGUGAAUACGUUCUCGGGGUUUGUACACACCGCCCGUCAAACCACGAAAGUUGGCAUUACCGC